This 383-nucleotide long non-coding RNA is filed under the name Zostera marina. RNAcentral describes it as "long non-coding RNA (ZMAR_LNC000866)". The record is from RNAcentral. Lineage: Eukaryota; Viridiplantae; Streptophyta; Magnoliopsida; Alismatales; Zosteraceae.
GAUCAAUCAAACUCGACCUGCCAAGAUUUACGGGGGAGGAUCCGCAGGGAUGGCUUUACCAAACGGAGGAAUACUUCACAUUUCACUCAAUCCGCAGGGAUGAAAAUCCAAUAGUCUGAUUGCUCCUCUUUCCUAUCAAGUGCUAUAUUCGGGAACCCAUCUGGAAGCUUCUUUCUUCUUCCUCCUCUUUUCGGUCUGGUGCUAUAUUUGGGAACCCAUCUGGAAGUUGUUGUUUGUAAGUUUGUUCACAGGUUUUCUUAAACAAAAUCCAAUCAUUUAGUUGUUGUCUUCAAAAUUAUUACUAUGUGUAAAAUCAAAAGUGGUUGAGUCUUAUUGCCCUGCCCCAAAAAUAUCAUGGAGGAUUUGAAUAAGUGAUUCGGGAG